Long non-coding RNA from Cherax quadricarinatus, 2856 nucleotides. RefSeq lists it as uncharacterized. NCBI's taxonomy places the organism in Eukaryota, Metazoa, Arthropoda, Malacostraca, Decapoda, Parastacidae. The record is from RefSeq and is a predicted model, not a curated record.
CUUGAUAAAGCCCAAUGUGUGGGCAAAAUGUUGUCAAUAAAGGAUCACAUACUGCUUCUGUGUUUAUUUUUCCAUUGUGCUGGUAUUCUAUACCAUUUAUUUCCAGAAACAACCCCUAACAGCUGCAUGCAUGGAUCCAUCAAACCGGCACUCUAUGCCUCGACAUCAGCUAGGCAGCAUCCAUCUGCAUCAACCUCCAACAGUCAUUGCCCAAUUUCAUCUGAAUCAGUGAGUGUUAUUAGUUUUCCUGACAACGCAUUCAGCUUUUGAAAGAAGGACUCUAAUUUGAUUCUUGCGUCAGUGGAGAUGUGGGACUUAAUAUUCUACUGACUGAAAUUUUCCUGAAACCUAUCACUGUGCACAAUCUGGGCAAGGUUGCCUUGGACCAAUAGAGCAUCUCUUCAUCACAUCAGGACCAAUCAGAGAUACACCCUUCUCGACUAACUGGGAAAAGCACAUUUGGAGAAUUCACAAACACUGGAAAAGUACAUUGUGCACCAAAAUGUUUCCCAGUCAGGAUUACCAUGCUUUACACCAUGGAGGAGAGUUCAUAAAAAUUUCACAUAACAGCACUAAUUACAAAUGUUGAAAAGUGACAUUGGCAAAGCGACGGAGGAAUUUUGUGUAAAAAUGGGCAAGGGAAAAUUUAAUCCCAUGGUCGUCUCGAUAUCCCACUUCCGAUGAAACUUAUAUUCCAUCACUGGACACUUGGAACAACAUAUGGGGAACCUGCCUAUUGGACCAACUUACAGAUGAAUGCCAGGUCAUUCUGCAUACAAGGAGUGCAAAAUGGGUGGUCCCCCUCCCCCAACAAUAGCAACACUGCAGUCCAACUGCAGAAGGAUGAUGUCAACUUCGUUGAUAUAUUGGGCUCUGAUUUCACAAGUUAACUUUGAUAUGAUGCUGAGGAACCACCCACAGAGAAGUUAUCCAAACGCUGGUAACUGAAAUGUGUGAUGACUAAUGGGUACACACACACACCAGCCUUCUAGGAUGCAGUGGUUAGUUCAAUACAUAUAAUGACUACCACUAAAGAUUAUCAGCACAAGGUUACAAAUUGUAUUGUCUGCUUAUGAGUACUGUGUUCAAGGAUAUACUACUGACUUGGUGGCUCAUCUUGUCUUUCACACAAACCUACAUGCACACAAAAGAAAAAAAGUGGACCCUCUCCUCCCCCUCCUUUGAACAUUAAUUAACAUCUCUUCAAUGACUUUUACUGAUAUCCUUUUUUUAGAUAGGGGUCAAUCACCUUCCAGCAAUAGACAAAUGUUAGGCCACCCAGACUUGGAUUAGUCAGUGGAAGACAGGAUGCCUGGCAAGAUAUUCAAAGUUAUCUGAAGUCUAUUGCACCUAAAUAGCAACAAAAAUCAAUAAAUAACUGCACGAGUUCUUCAAAAUUAGAUCCUUACAGUGCUUGUCAUUAAAGUACCCUACUCUGAUAGGUAGGGUAUCUGAUAGGUGGGAUAUCUUGGUAUUUCCAAAGGCAACUGGCUGCAUGCUCAGAGCCUUCUAGUCUUAAGGUGGAAGGGUGCAUGUCUUGUCUCCCUAGGCCGUGUUCUCUUGAGUGAAGUGUUUAACAUUUUUGGGUCUAGAUGAAUUAAUGUAAGAAAGAAUAAGUAGCUUACACAAGACAAUUGCACACUUCAUUAGAUUACAUAGGUAAGUCCUCAAAUGAAAAAUAGAAGCCACUGGCAUCAGAACGUUCAAUGAGGAACUGAUUGGAUCUGUUAUGUGAGGGUGAUGACAUGCCUACACCAAAAUCACAUCCAGGGAAGCUAAGACAAAUGUCCCCAUGCUUGUUAAUUGUAAUACAGUAUUAUAAUUAAUGUCUGUGGGGGAUGUUUCAAGGCUUCCCUGGUUGUGCUUUUAGCAUGGGCAUAUCACCACCUUCUAUUUCCUUCAUUUGAUGGCCCAGCCUUAUGCAAUCUGAACGAUUUGUGCAACUGUCUCUUGUAAAGUAAAAGGACACAAGUGCAACUAAUGUGACAUUUUAGUGUGGCAACGUUUCGCUCUCCAGGAGCUUUAUCAAGCCAUUGCAAACAAUACAUGGACACAGAUGGUAUAUAUAGGCUCAGAGUGAGGUACAAUACUAGUGGUAGUAGUAGUGAUAAAAGUUGUAGUAGUAGUAAUAUAAUAUGGUAGAGCAAUUAAUUCGUACAUGAGUAAAAGGAUAUAAAAGCUAUUACUUGGGUAACAUAAAAAUAGGUUGGACAAAUGUAGACUGGAUAGAGGCAGCCAGCUUCAGUGUUCACUCUCUGUAAUGUGCUUUGUGUAGUAUAACAGGAGAGACUAUGUGAUGGCAGGGUUUACUGUUUUCAGGAGGAUUCUUGCUAAGACUUCAGAGAUGGUGAAGCUGCCGUUGUUUUAUUUAAUUGUAUUCGAAACAGCGAUCAGUGCUGAUUCGAGGCACUUGCGUCUGCGGAAAUUAGUUUCUUUGAUCACUAAUUGGGCGUCCCUGAAUUUCAUGAGAUGACUGGUGGAAUUUCGGUGUUGUACACAGGCGUUGUUCAGGUUAUCGUUCCUACAUGCGUAAAUGUGUUCAUUGAGGCGGGUGUCGAGGUUUCUUGCUGUUUCACCUCGACACCCGCCUCAAUGAACAUCUGCAUUAAGAAGCUAUGACAAAAGUGAAUUUAUAACAGUCUAAUAAAAAACACGAUAUGAACUUUAGUGAACAGGUUUAAUGCUUAAUUUGAUUACAUUAUUGUAUUCUCAAGAGGAGAUAGAGAUGUUGGAACUAGGAUAAAAGUUGGGGAUGAUGCAAAGAACUUUAGGUAGAAGGGAAUUUGCUAAUUUGUGCUAUUUAACAAAAAUUUAUUUUUGAUGCAUAAGCAGCAUCUCACACACACACAUACAAAA